GUCCGGUGGGACAUCCCACAGCAGCUGGGCCUGUCACACCAGCUCGUGCGUAUGACUGGCGGGGCCGAGUAGAGACCAUGCGCACUACGCCCGUAGAAGCCCUGUUGAGCCGCCGGAGGACGCGGGUUCGAUUCCCGCCACCUCCACCA
This 149-nucleotide transfer-messenger RNA is filed under the name Geodermatophilaceae bacterium. RNAcentral describes it as "partial transfer-messenger RNA". It matches the Rfam family "transfer-messenger RNA", at positions 227 to 374 of the family's 374-position model. From Rfam's summary of the family: Bacterial tmRNA, also known as 10Sa RNA or SsrA, is named for its dual tRNA and mRNA-like properties. Its role is to liberate the mRNA from a stalled ribosome. Lineage: Bacteria; Bacillati; Actinomycetota; Actinomycetes; Geodermatophilales; Geodermatophilaceae. The record is from RNAcentral.